CAUGUUAGGGAAGUUUUCAACUAUAAUCUCUUCCAGUAUUUUCUCUGGUCCUUUCUCUCUCUCUUCUCCUUCUGGGACUCCUAUAAUGCGAAUGUUGGUGCGUUUAACAUUGUCCCAGAGGUAUCAUAGGCUGUCUUCAGUUCUUUUCAUUCGUUUUUCCUUAUUGUUUUCCGCAUCAGUGAUUAUCACCAUUCUGUCUUCCAGGUCAUUUAUUCGCCCUUCUGCCUCAGUUAAUCUGCUCUUGGUUCCUUCUAGUGUAUUCUUCAUUUCAGUUAUUGUGUUGCAUAUCUCUGUUUGUUUGUUCUUUAAUUCUUCUAGGUCUUUGGUAAACUUUUCGAUCUUUGCAUCCAGUCUUUUUGCAAAGUCCUGGAUCAUCUUCACCAUCAGUAUUCUGAAUUCUUUUUCUGUAAGGGUGCCUAUCUCCUCUUCAUUUAGUUGUUUUUCUGGGGUUUUAUCCUGUCCCUUCAUCUGGUACAAAGUCCUCUGCUUUUUCAUUUUCUCUGUCUUUCUGUGGCUGUGGUUUUCAGUUCCACAAGACGAAACACUGCUGAUACUGCUUGAUACUGCUGUCCGCCCUCUUGUGGAGGAAGCUAUCUAGGAGGCUCCUGGGUGCUUCCUGAUGGGAGGGACUGAUGGUAGGUAGGGCUGGGUGGGCAGAGCUCAGUAAGAUUUUAAUCUGAUUUGGUGGGUGGAGCUCAGUAAAACUUUAAUCUGCUUGUCUGCUAAUGGGUGGGGCUGUGUUCACACCUUAUUGGUUGUUUGGCCUGAGGCUACUUAGCACUGGAGCUUACAGGCUCUUUGGUGGGGCUAAUGGCGGACUCUGGGAGGGUUCACACCAAUGAGCACUUCCCAGAACCCCUGCUACCAGUGCCCCUGUCUCCUCGGUGAGCCACAGCUGCCCCCCACCUGUGCAGGCAACCCUCCAACACCAGCAGUCCUGUAGAGGUCCUGCAAUCAAAUCCCGCUGGCUUUCAGAGUCUGAUUCUCUGGGGAUUCCUCCUCCCGUUGCUGGACUCCCAGGUCCCUAGGAUUCCCCAGACCUGCAGAAUCAUGAUUUCUAAAGAAAAGUCCCCAAGAAGCUGCAUUUUAAAUGAACCUUGGGCUGCGCUGUGUGGCUUGAGGGAACUUGGUUCCCUGACCAGCGAUCGAACCCCGUGCCCCCUGCAGUGGAAGCGGGAAUCCUAACCACUGGACCACCGGGGAACUCCCUAUAGCAUCACUGUAAAUAGAUACAUACCACCUCAUUUUUCGAAUAUGUGUUAUUUUUAACCAGUCCCAUUAUGGUGGCUUCAUUCUGCUUCAGUUUAGCGAAGCUGGAACUACAUCUCCCAGAAUGCCCUUCCCUGUAGGCUGGGUUACUGUUGCCCACGAGACAAAUGUAUGCAGGACUGGGUGGGCAGACGUGAAGGAGCAGAUGUUUUCGUGCUCCGAAGGUGAGCGUAUGGCCCUCACACACGUUGCGGCUGAUCUGCUGAUUCACCUCGUUGGCAUGAGGCAGCGGCCAGGCCUGCGGUUCCUCCAGUAACUCUGGGUCUCCUUCGGCUUCUGCAAAUCCUGGGAGAUGCACGUGAUGGGUGCCAGCUUCACCUGACAGUUACCCACAUCAUCCAGGCUGCAGGUGGUAACUGAUGCAGGUUCCACUCUGCUGCUCAUCUUUGCAUUCCGUGACUUGAUGUGUAUUUUUCCUUCCCAACUGUUGACAUCAGGCCCGACACCAGAAUUCAGAAAAGCCAGCCCCUUCCAUACGUGACCACCAAUGACCCGUUCCCACAGAUGUGCAAGGUCUCGUCUCUAUAAUAAGUCCCUCGGCCCCUUUCACCAUUUGUGGUUCUGCUUCUCUGACCAAAUUCUAACUGAACCCUAGCCCUCUCUGUUCAUCGGGUUCUCUGAGAAGCAGACACUGAGAUGGACUUAGGAGUGCAGUUGGGAGUAGCACCUGGGAAGAUAAGAAAAUGAAGAAGCGGGAUUGGCCAGAGAGCGCCUCCUAUCUCAAGGCAGACUUGGCAAAGGUUCAGCCAAGUUAGCAGGGAAUUCUGGAGCACAGUUUCCUGCUAGAGGAGUCCCAGGGGCGAGCAAAGCUCUCCAGGUCCUUGCACCUUGCUCAGUCCUCACCCUGGACUGCCACAAAAGAGCGUGCAUGGCCUCUGCGGAGAGUAAGGCGGAUCCUGGAAGGGUCAAAGCUGGAAUCUGCCAGCUCCAGCACUCCUUGCAAUGAAGGACAGGUUCAUUCUUGAAGGGACACCCCAGCAGCUCACCUCAGAGCUGCCUCGCCCACAGUCACACAUUUAAUUGACUCCGGUUUUUCACGUUAUUAUAAAUAAUACGUGAGUGAAUUAAUCUGGUAGGUCAAUCUUUUUGCACAUCCAUAAUUAUUUACUUAGGAUUAAUUAUUAGGAAUGAGAGUUCUGGGUCAAAAGUAGGGCCAGUGUUGAGGCUUUUGAUUUGUAAAAGCAGAGUGAUCCUCAGAAGAAUCGUGGUUUUAAUUAGAAUUUAAUCAACAGUGAGGCAGAACAUUUUUAUAUGAUUUUGGACAUUUGUGUUUCUUUUUAAAAAUUUCUUGUUCAUAUCCUUGCUUAUAUGAUACAUAUCUUUUUUAAAGGAUUUGAAAGAGCUAUUUAUAUGUAAAAGAUUUGAAUCCCUUGUCUGAUAUAUAUAACACAAAUAAUUCUUCCGUUUGCCCUUUGUCUUUAACUUUUUUCAUGUUUUUCUGGAGAUACAGAAUUUCUUAUAUAUUUAAUACUAUUAAUAGUUUCCUCUGUGAUUAUUCUAGAAAAGGCUUGGCCACUCAAGAUUACAUUAAUAUUCAAUUAUAUCCUUUUUUAAACCAUGUUAUUUUAUUUUGUGAUGUGAUGGGGGGGUCUAACAUAUAAUAUAUUAUCAUACUAUAUAAACUGUGUGUGUGUGUGUGUGUGUGUGUGUGUGUGUGUGUGCAUAGCUGUUCUUUCUUUCUUUCUUCCUUCCUUUCUUUUUCUUUCUUUAUUUGGCUGCAUCAGGUCUUCUUCUUUCUUUCUUCUUUUUUCUUUCUUUAUUUGGUUGCAGCAUGAAAACCUCUUAGUUGAAGCAUAUGGGAUCUAGUUCCCUGACCAAGGAUUGAACCCAGGCCGCCUGCAUUGGGAGGGCAGAGUCUUAGCCACUGGACCACCAGAGAAGUCCCUGUACUUUCUUUGUCUCAUUGAUCUUUCUGUAGCAAUAUCCCAACUGUUUGAAUUCUUUUGGUUUCAUAAUAAAUGGUAACUAUUUAACAUAUAGGUUAAGCAUACACAAAUACUCUUAUUAAGCA
Molecule: long non-coding RNA, 3280 nt
Organism: Hippopotamus amphibius kiboko
Lineage: Eukaryota; Metazoa; Chordata; Mammalia; Artiodactyla; Hippopotamidae
Exons: 4
Source: RefSeq, a predicted model, not a curated record